Molecule: long non-coding RNA, 3181 nt
Organism: Pteropus alecto (black flying fox)
Lineage: Eukaryota; Metazoa; Chordata; Mammalia; Chiroptera; Pteropodidae
Exons: 5
Source: RefSeq, a predicted model, not a curated record
CGGAACUGUAUUCCCGCGGGGGUUCGAUGGGGCACGCGAUCCAGGAGCCUUGCUCCGAGGCGCGAGAUCCCGCGAGAGCAGGAGCCUGGUGGUUUUUCUCCUGGCGGGAGCGGAGCGCUGGGUCUGGCGGUGGGAGCAAGGUGGCUGCAGAUUGAAAUACACAGUUACCAAGAGAGCAGAGUGAAGACGCCUGGAAUUAAGCUGUCACGACCAGUAGUGUUUCCUGGGAGGCUGCGGCCUGCUCUCAGAAUCCAGAUGCGCUCCACGAACACCCUGUUGUCCUGAGUAGCUUCUCACAGUCAGAACCAGAUGCAGGAUAAUAUUAUGGCCAAAUCGACAACAGUCUGUGAGGUGCUAAAUAUCAGAAAGAAAAGAAAGAGCACACUGGCUGAGGUACCGAUCCCAAAGGAAGCUACCCUGGAGAGCGUGUUCUUUUGAAGAUGACAGAAACUUCCAGGGCACUUGUGUUUUCACGAUCUUCUCUGCCGCAUCUUAAAUAGUCGGGCACCACGAUUACUGAGAUGGGAUAGUUCUUCCAACAUGAUGUCUCUGGGGAUGCUGACCUUUUUGCCCAGGUCCAUGCCAUCUACAACUGGAAAACGAUAUUCAUGUGCAUGAAAAUCCCAAGUGACAGCCUAUUAUUCAUUGACAGACAGCGUCACCGUGAAGAGAGGGUGAUACUCAAGAGUUUCAGGCCCAGCCUUAUCUACACAGCAGUACAGUGAUCAGGCAAUGAGACCCAACAAAAGAGCUGGCCUCCUUCCCCCUCCGCUCUCUUUUCCAGUUUAUUAAUCUGUCAUUGUUCCUUACUGGCCUGCACUUGUACCAGCAUCACAAUACAUCAAUUCCAGCAAACUGUAAGAAUGAAGAAGGAACACCAGAUUAAACCAGAACUCUGUGGUGGCGUUUUAAAAUUGGCAUCAACAGCUGUCCUUUAAAGCGAAGAAUACCCAUUUGUGAGUCACAACUCUGCACCUCCUUGGACAACUGACUAAUAGAACAUUUUAGGAAACAAUAUGCUCACCUUGCUCGUAGGCUGCGCUUUCCAGCAGGAUGAAUCCCAAUUCGUGGAGGAGAGACUAGAGAUGGAGUAGGGAUGGCACUUGGGCCUGAUGGUUUUUAUCCUUGAGCCCAGGACGGCAUGGUCCCCAGCCCUGACUCAAACCGGGGACUGAGCCUCUCUGAAGAGACUGGCAUCCAGCUGACAUCAGCUGGCUAUAUAUAGCACCACAUGCUUCAGCUACUCAUAUCUUCCUGGCGAAAGAGAGGAGCAGAGGAAGAUUAGGUUCUCGCCAUUGUGUUUCUAGCUUGUGAGAUGGUUGAACGGCCGCACAGAAAUUUUCUCUGGAGCACCUUCCGUCUGAAGACAUGGUAGCCAGAAGGGAUUUUAAAAACUUUUUAAAAUGUGGCUCUUAGACUACAUCUUAAUAGAGGUGGCAAGACACACACGCGUGAAUCGGAACACAAUGAUACAUUUUGACAAUUAAAAGCAUAAAUAGUAAUAUCUAAAGGUUUCGAGGAGAAAGAAGGCACCGCAGCGGAGUGUAAGUGGGAAUGAGGUCUCGCCAGGCUCGGGAAAAUGGGCAGAAUUCGCACGGCGAAGCGGGGCCGCCACGAGGCCAUGACUCAGAGCCCGGUCCCGCUUUGUGAGGACACCCUGUGGAGAACGGUGCCUACGCAGCUGACCCAUCUCCGCGGGCUCCGGAGUCCAGGGUUCCUGCCUGGCAGAAUGGCGGUUGGUAGAUCCGGGCGGUCGGCACGCGGCCUCCUUGCCGGUGCUCGGACACAGACGCCUGCUCGCAUUUCUGGGCUUCGCUUUUGCGAUUCCCUACUUCUGUGACCACGCUGUCCCCUACCCACGUGGCACUUCAUCGAGUGCCUGCAAGACUCCGCUCAACCGUUGUUCUUCACAGCGUCGUUCCCCAGCCAUCCUGUCUAAAGCGUCCCAUGGAGCCACUCUCUGGCCCCUUCCUCUGUUUCACGGUUCUUUAUAUUUUUGUAUUGAGAUUAAAAUCAAGUGGGAGUGACAGAAAACUUUAAAAACCCAGAAAUUUUAAAAAGAUAAAAGUGAGUUUUUCCCACACACAAGCUUAGUCCAGAGAUAAAUAAUCUAGGAUUGGCAUGAUUGACAUGACAUCAGGGGCUCAGUCACCUUCUAAUGUUUUGUUCCCUUGUCCCUAAAAUGCAGACCCCUUGAGCCGAAAUGGCCCCUCCAGUUCUGGUCAGCGUGUCCACAUUUCAGUCAACAGGAAAAAAAAUAACAAUGAGGAAGACGCACUGUCUCUCGCUCAGAACGUGUCCUGAUAUUGCUCAGACCUCUCUUGCUUAUGUCCUUUGGGCCAGAUCUUAGUCAGAUAGCCAUGCAUAGCUCAAGAGAGGUUGGGAAACGUCGACUGCGUUCUGCACGGCCAUGAGCCCAGCUAAGAUUCCGAGAUUAGCUUACUGACAGAGGUGACAAGUGGUUCCUGGAUGACAACUCUUAGUUUUUGCCACAGGAACAUAUUAACAUUAUCUAUCCAUCUAUCUGUCGGAUAUCUGUUUUUCCUACUAAAAUAUAAACUCCAUAAGGGCUUGGGCUUUGUCUACAUCUUCGGCAGCGAGAAUUGUGUCUCGUAUAUGACAGCACUCAGUAUUCAUUGAAUAAAUGAGUGGGUUGGAAAUUAAUUGUAAAAGGCAUUCAAAGUUUGGCAUGAGUUUGGAAUUCUCUUCCAGUUACAUCAAAUACUUGGGGGGAAAUAGGGUUGUAAUAAAUGAACGGUAACUCGAAUGUGAGAAGAUGGUGGCACUUAUGAGUUGUUUUGUGUGAGAUUAAAAUAGGAUAGUCUGUACAUUUCGGUGUCUGAUCGUAGGAUCAUUAGUUCACAGCAGUAGGUGGUAGGUUUUAGCUAACUUACUGCAGUUGCUUCUAAGCAAAUGUUCGCAUUGAAGAUAUUAAUUAGAUGCCAGAGAGAAACCAUUUUGCCAAAGCCAACAAAUUUAAAUUCUCUCUCCAGAUCCUUCAGUGGUCUUUAUAUCCCUGGCUUUGACAUUCACUGUGGUGUGCCAUUAGUCAAGUCUCAUAUACUCUUAGUUUUCUUGUCUAUAAAACGGAGAUUACAGUUUCUACCACAUAGUGUCAUGGACAUUUAACCUGUAAUAAUUUUAGAAAUUUCUGACACAAUAAAACUUUAAUAAAUAUGAA